RNAcentral lists this small nuclear RNA (129 nucleotides) under Allonautilus scrobiculatus. RNAcentral describes it as "partial U2 snRNA". It matches the Rfam family "U2 spliceosomal RNA", at positions 27 to 155 of the family's 192-position model. From Rfam's summary of the family: U2 is a small nuclear RNA (snRNA) component of the spliceosome (involved in pre-mRNA splicing). Complementary binding between U2 snRNA (in an area lying towards the 5' end but 3' to hairpin I) and the branchpoint sequence (BPS) of the intron results the bulging out of an unpaired adenosine, on the BPS, which initiates a nucleophilic attack at the intronic 5' splice site, thus starting the first of two transesterification reactions that mediate splicing. Lineage: Eukaryota; Metazoa; Mollusca; Cephalopoda; Nautilida; Nautilidae. The record is from RNAcentral.
CAAAGUGUAGUAUCUGUUCUUAUCAGCUUAAUAUCUGAUACGUCCCUCAUCUGAGGGCAUCGAUAUUAAACUGAUUUUUGCACNNNCGGNGAAUGGCAAGGGCUUGCUCUACCUUUGCCACGGGUUGGC